AACCUUGCACUGGAGCAUAUCCAUACCUGUGAAGUAAUAACUGAGGCUGGAUUAUUGCUGAUUGAAAACUUUUUACCAAUCACCGCGAGACGACAAACUCUUUGAGGAAGUCGGCUUUCGUAAUUUUUGGAACGACCUCUGGUC
Molecule: small nuclear RNA, 144 nt
Filed under: Anaeromyces robustus
Lineage: Eukaryota; Fungi; Neocallimastigomycota; Neocallimastigomycetes; Neocallimastigales; Neocallimastigaceae
Description: U4 spliceosomal RNA
Rfam family: U4 spliceosomal RNA
About the family: U4 small nuclear RNA (U4 snRNA) is a component of the major U2-dependent spliceosome. The structure of U4 snRNA from yeast and human has been reported.
Source: Rfam by way of RNAcentral